GACGAACGCUGGCGGCGUGCCUAAUACAUGCAAGUAGAACGCAGUUGCGAACGGGUGAGUAACGCGUAGGGAACUGCCUCAUAGCGGGGGAUAACUAUUGGGAACGAUAGCUAAAACCCCAUACUGUGAGAUGGACCUGCGUGGGAUUAGGUUGUGGGUGAGGUAAAGGCCCACCAAGGCGACGAUACAGAGCCGGGCGUGGAGGGUGAUCCGCCACAAUGGGAACGAGACAAGGGCCCGACUCCCAAGGGAGGCAGCAGUAGGGAAUUUUCGGCAAUGGACGGAAGUCUGACCGAGCAACGCCGGGUGAGUGAAGAAGGUUUUCGGAUCGUAAAGCUAUGUUGUGAGAGAAGCGGUACCUAACCAGAAAGGGACGGCUAACUACGUGCCAGCAGCCGCGGUAAUAC
RNAcentral lists this ribosomal RNA (407 nucleotides) under uncultured bacterium. RNAcentral's name for it is "partial 16S ribosomal RNA". It matches the Rfam family "Bacterial small subunit ribosomal RNA", at positions 28 to 526 of the family's 1533-position model. The record is from RNAcentral.